UAUGAGUUCCAUUUUACUUCACCUACGUUAAAAAAAUGAGACUUUAACUCACUUUAAUGGCUAUGCCCUUGCAUAUUUGUGGUGGCUCUUCAAAAUGUUUCAAAAACACUUUCGCAUGUUGUCUCUUGACUCUGAGAAUAACUGUUUUGAGUAGGUAGGGGAGAAACAUUGCUUUUUGUUUAAAAAGGUGAGAUUCAGAGAGGUUAACUGACUAUUUCUGUUCCACCAAGAGACAGAAAUUAGUUGAAUUUUUCUCUGUUAAAAUUAGUGAUAUUUAAAUGACCAUUCUAAUACAGUAUCACUUAUGUGUCAUUGUUAUUUUUUUUUUUUGAUAAAACAUAUUGUGUCUAGAUGUCAAGGGCAAGAAGAGAAAGGCACAGAUGGAGAAGAUAAGGGCCAUGCUACUGAAAGAAUAUCUAAAAUCAUGCACCAUUUAUGCUCUAGAACAUUCUUCCUUAGCCCAAUACCUCAAUGUCGAGUGGAUUACAAUGCCCAUUUUAAGGGAAGACUAGUGCUGUCCUAUUCAGAUAAAGUAUAUUGGUAUGACACAGAUGUCUGUGCAUAAUUAAUACCAUGUCCUCUUUAUGUUGACAAGGGGAUGCACAUAUUGAACAAUGGAGGCACUGUUCAAAAUUGAUGAUCAGCUUUUAAAAUAGUAAUUAAAAACUCCCCCCCAUUAAAAUCUAAACCAAUUGUAUAUAGUCAAAAAAAUGAAAAAGAAGGAAAAAUCCAUGCAGCAAAACCACAAACUUUUCCUCUGAUUCUCCCAGGAAAAUUGACUUUCCACAUCAUGGCCAUGGCAACUUUGCAACAGCUAUGGUGCAGUCCGAUAGAAUUAAAGUCCUCCCUGAAUUUGAAGUUGUGAUGGAAGACAGGGGCACAGGCAGAGCCCAACAUUGAGAGGUUGCUUUCCUUCCUCUUCUCUUGAUGGACAAAACCUUUUUUCUAAAUCAUUUGUGAAAAAGUCCUAGACCUACAAUGACCUAUUGUGAGCAGAUAACAUGAUCUGACACUUCUUCCCCUUCUGCCAUUAAUUGGGUACAUUUCAGGUGAUAUCUUCCAGAGUCCUUGAAGAAAGGUCUGACAAUUCCUGCUGCCAUUUGAAAAAGGAAAAUCACGAACCUCUUGUUUUGUAAGGACGUGAGACAGGAUGACAACAGGAUUCUGUUACAAGGCUUGUCAUUUCCAACUGAGUACAGUCCACAUAGUCACCAAGUAGAAUAUCAUUCUGAAAGUGGGUUUCAGCUCUUGCUUGAGUUUGAGAUGUAAGCAAACUUAAUAUUGUGCUUGGAGGGAUAGAAAAACCCUUGGAAAAGUUUAGUGUUUAGAAUAUGGAUUUAAUGGACUUUAAAAGGCCAAUGCAUAUUCUGAUUUAUACCACGUAGAAGGUAUCUCUUUAUUCUCAUGGUGUCCUUCUGAGACAUUAACCAUAAGCUUUCAGUAAUGCACGUAGAGAGAAAAGUUGUGAGUUGGGGGGUAAGGAAAUGCUUUUAGUUGAGUUAUACACACAGUUACUGUUAAUCCAGAUAAAAUUUCGCAUGGUUUCUUCCAAACGGCAAAGUAUUUGUCAAACUUAAGUUUGAUAAUUAUGACAAAGGGAAGACAUGAAGAUAUCUCAUCAGCGGAAUGGGUGACAUUCUGUACCGCCUAUUAACUAGGUUGCAACAGAAUAUCUAACAUUCAGCCUUUACUUUUGAUAUUUGUACUUUGUCUUGUAAAUUAUUUGCUAUUAGGCAAAAAAUCAUUGGUUUGAAUUUAACUUGAUUUGGGCAACUAAAUGACAUACCUAAACACAUGCUUUAGCUAUACCAUGACUUUUUAAUGACUUUUCCCUUUAAUUUGGUUUUGGAAAUUGAUUUGCCCUUUAAAAAUAAUAUCAGCAUUUAAAAGUAAUUUUAGCGGCUUUUUGUCUGUGCAGUAACUGAAUUUGGUCCUUAAGAGAAUGACUUCAAAUAAGCAACCUUUGUAAAGAUGUGAAAACUGCUGUGCCGAGCUAGAAAUGGCCACACUUGUAACAAGAAUGUGAGUGUGGACUUAAAGUGAGGCUAAAGUAGAAGAAUCCACUGAAAGUCGACUUUGUGUUCAGAUUGGCAGGCACUGUUGGGGCACAUAAAGAGGGAUCUAUGCCCACGUGUAUCCUCUGGACCAGAAUGGGCUAGAGCAUGGUCUAUUACGUCUGCAGAUUUGCUCCUUUUCUUCUUUUCUGCCUGCUUUCUCUCCUCCCAGGUAGCUGCUAUUAGAUCCAGCUGUGGGGGUGAAGGUAGAUGUGAGGGUAAAGGAUCUAAAGGGAGGAAUCUAGAGUCCACUCAUCCCUUUCAUCUCCUCAUUGGUUCCUGUUCUGUCAGUCAGCUGAUGAGCACAUUCAAACCACUCAGUGUCCCUGGUCCAUGACACAAAUACUCGUAACCCUGAAAUACGCACCCAAAUCAGUGACUUGAAGCAGAUAUAUGAGAUUCCUGAUUUCUUGGGAACUGAAAGUGCUGAACAUUCUCAUAGCUAUAACAUACAUUAUUGGGAAGAUAUUGGCAACUAUCUGCCUCUGACUACAAUUGUUUAUCUGCAAAAUGGGACCAGAAUUCUUCUAAGAUUCUCUGAAAGUAGCAGAAAGUAGUUAUUAGUAGGUAGGGAGGAAUCAUCACAAUGAUCUCAAAAUUUUUCUCACAGCAAUGCUGGAUCCUCAACCCCCUGAGCAAGGCCAGGGAUCGAACCCGCAACCUCAUGGCUCCCAGUCAGAUUUGUCAACCACUGUGCCUCAACGGGAAACUCCGGCAUGUUCACUCUUUAUGUUAAUGCUGAAAUUUAAAUUGCUAGAUGGACUAGAUUUUAGCUGCAUGCCUUGUCUUUUGAGAAAUUGGGAGAUUUGAGGUAAAAUGUCUCAUAGUAGAGAUGGCCUCUUAUUGAUUUUGCUUAUGUCUUCCAGAUUUCAGCAUACAAGUGACUCAUUGGGGUCAAAGAGGGAAAUCCUUUGUGAUGAAUCAGAUGUCACUCUGAGACACAGGGUUUCUUACACUUCAUCUCUAUCUAAAGUCAGUAUUGCCCUGCUAAUCCAUACUAAGCAAACAACACCCCCAAAUCAACACCCAAACAAGUGACAGGCUAUCCUGGAGUUUUAGCUGUUAUUUUCAGGGUUGCCAACACCUUUUUUCCAGGAAAAAAAGACUGGCCAGUGGCCACCAAAGUGUUGCUUUUGAGGGGUGGGAUGGAAUUGAAAUCUCUCCUUUCCUGUCUAUUUGGAGGGGUUAAUGCAUGGGGAAAAUGCCUGUUCUUGGGAAUCCAGUGUUUGAGGUGCCCCCAUACCAAUUCCCCAUCACUCCUCCAACAACAGAAGUUACACAAACAACACUCUUGCCAGAAGGAAUGCUUACAGUUUCUUUGCUAUGACCUGGGCAGAAUUGAGUUCAUCUAUAUUUUCUUCUUGGGAGGAAUACUAUCUCCAGACUGGGGAGACAAUAUAGCCAGGAGGUAGCACUUUUAUUUUAUUUUAUUUUUGCUGUUUUAGGGCCACCCUGAGGCAUAAUGAGGUUCCUUGGCUAUGGGUCGAAUUGGAGCUGCAACUGCCAGUCUACACCACAGCCACAGCAAUUCAGGAUUCAAGCCACAUCUGCAACCUACACCACAGCUCAUGGCAAUGCCGGAUCCUUAACCCACUAAGCAAGGCCAGGGAUUGAACCCACAUCCUCAUGGGUCCUAGUUGGGUUUAUUAACCACUGAGCCACAAAGGGAGCUCUGAGGUAACACUCUUAAGAAAGAAAUAGCAUACUGUCCCUCUAAUAAAGAAGGACCACUUUUAAAAUGAAUUUUUUGAACAAUGAUAAGCAUGUUGAAGGUCCAGAUUGCCAAUUUGUACUUUUGGGCUUAGGAGCUGGGAAAACUCUUCUUGAUUGAUAAUUGGGGCUGGAACAUCACAGAAGACACGUCAGCUUGAUAGUGAAACCAUAAGGCAAGGCAUUAUGGGAAUGUCCUGUUGGCUUCUCUUCCCAUCUAUUUCAUGAUCAGUUGCCAGUGAGCAGGCACUUACAGGAAGAGUUUUAUAAAGGAAGCAGAGGUUCCUUUAUAAAUCCAGGUUGACUUCUGGAUUGUGUUUGCACAGUAGCUUCUGAUUUUUCCUAAGAUGAUUCUUGCUUUGUUUCUGUUAUCCUUUUUUUCUCUAGGUUUUAAUCUGAUGGCACAUAAUAAAUAUCUCUUCUGUGAAAUUCCCUGUAGGAGUUAGAUAUAAGCAUAAGGAUCUCAAUAAAGCUUUUCUAAAAGAAGUCUGAGUUUCAGGAGGAAGCACAUGACUUUUGAGCUUAUUGUUGGAUACCUAAGUUUGUGUCUUGGGUGUCAUUCAUGACAGUAGGGGACACAUUCGGAUCUGGUGGAGGUAGAGAUUGCCUUUCUGAUGGCUCUGUCCUAAACAAAGCCAUACCAAAAACAAACCCUCGGGAAAAUGAAUUGAUCGCAGGAGCACUGAGCAUCUAGAACCAAAACCAAUUAAAAAUUAGUUUAUUCACAUGACCCAUUUUAGAAUUUCUCCAUCUGGACUGACUGUUUUAAGAGUCAGAGUUUGAAAUAAGCCUGGCGUAAGAUCACUUACUAGGUAUUUAAGCUUGUUAAAAUUACUCAGUGUUACUGAGUCUGUUUCCCCAUCUAAAUAUAUGGGGGCAGUGACAGUUAUCUGGUUAUUAUGACCAUUAAAUAAGUUAACCAAUUUCUCUUUGGUCUAGGGAUCUGUUUCCAAAGUUUUCUAUUGAUUGAAGAUAAUCAAAACAUUCUCAUUGAACACUGAUGUAUUUGAGCCUCUUUGAGAAUAUUCAAUAUUUAACCUAUAAGUAAAAAUUUGCCAGUUGAAAGGGGAAAUGCAUAGGUAAAUAGAGGAUUAAUUAAAUGAUGUCCAUACCCUCUUAGUUAUGGACUGGAUAUGUCCUAAGACAGUGGGUCUGAGAAAAUUUAAAAAUUCAAGAGCUAAAAAUUUGUUCCAUUAGAAAUACUGCUUGGUAGGCUGACAGUCACAAAGAGAUGUUUUGCAUCCAGUGUUAUUUACCCCCAUAAUUCACUUCCUUCUGCAUUUUCCCACUAGUUUACAGAAUAGCACUGCAUUGAUGAUGCUGGGUGAUUGUCAUAGAACCAGCUAGAGUUGGAAAAGAAGGUGGUUCUUACCCUUGAUUAAAAUUUUGUCCAGGAAGUUGACAAACCCCACUGCCAUCUCUAAUGCAAGUUACAAGUGUACACACACUUUCUUCAGCACAGGCUGAGAGAUCUUGCUUUGCACUUAUUGUCCACAUAUUGACACUGUUGUAACUUUUGAAUGGUGGGAAGAUGGCAAGAGCAAAGGAAGGAACAGCCAAAUAUGAUUCAAGAGGCUCAUCUAAAUCCCAUAAAGAAAUGAAGCCUUUGGUCUUGCAAUGAUUGUGAAAAGAAUGCCCAAUGUGAGUGUAGCUCUAAAGAAAACAACAUUAUCUUUAAUUACCUGCUUAAAAAGAAGACUAUUUAUUGUGGCCAAAAAGGAUCAGUUAAAAGUUGACGUACUUGUUAUAGAUAAAGGCAAAUUAAAUCCUUUUAGACAGUCAUUUUAGACUCUUGAGAUUCUAGCAAAAGUUGUUAUUGAUUUGUGUUAUAACAAGCAACUUAUUUUUAUGGCAUAUUUAUGGACCGUUAAGGAAUCACAGAUAUCUAUAUCUUAUGAGUGGAAAGGACCUUAAAGUCUAUCUACUUCAGCAGCUUAUGUGAAAUGUGUUUUUAUGUCUUUACAUGUCCAUAAUAAAACAGGACACACUGGACUUUUUCUAGUUCUCUCUUACUCUUUCUUCAUUCCUUUCUUUCCUCCCUCCUUUUCCCUCUCUCUCCAUUUAUUUAUUUAUAUGCACAUGUAUAUAUACACACACAAAUGUGUAUAUGUAUGUAUGCAUAUAAAUGUAUAUAUGUAUAUGUAAUUUUUAUAAAAUUUUUAUUGGACUUAGAAUAUUUUACCACUAUGAAAACAUUCCAGAGUCUUAUAUUUGUAGCUUGUUUUAUGAUAUAUACUUGGUUAUAAAUAUUUUACACAAAAUUUUUGAUUAGGAGCAUACUUAGAGCAGUGGUUCUUCACAGGGACUCCAUCCUAGGAGUUUUGUACCUGUGUCAGGAUUUUGUUCUAGUUUCACAAUAAUUGGCAAAAGGCAAGGUUGCUAGGUGCCCUGUGGUGGACUGGAUGGUCUUGCUCAGCUAAGAAUCAUCUGCAUUUCAUAAGAUAUAUGAAUUACCUACUAGAUUUUCAUGUAAGAAAACACUUUAUUUUUCUCUGAGGCCAGAACUAAUCUCAUUUUCAAGGAACUGUUCCCACAAUUUUAAUAUACUUUUGAAUUUUCCAGAAAGACCAGCUCAGGUCAUUCAACAAUAUUUUAUUUUAUUCAGAACG
RNAcentral lists this long non-coding RNA (6373 nucleotides) under Sus scrofa (pig). Its description in RNAcentral is "lncRNA (ENSSSCG00035000710.1)". The record is from RNAcentral. Lineage: Eukaryota; Metazoa; Chordata; Mammalia; Artiodactyla; Suidae.